CUGCAGCCAAUUAAGUUGACUGUUCUCCUCUCCCCCUGGUGUCCCAGUGUGCACUGGCUGCAGGCAGCAGCCUCCUUGGUAGUGUACGUAGCCUGUUGCUUGUAUGGGUUUCCCUGAUGGACCUUGAAGACAGCC
Molecule: small nucleolar RNA, 135 nt
Organism: Choloepus hoffmanni (Hoffmann's two-fingered sloth)
Lineage: Eukaryota; Metazoa; Chordata; Mammalia; Pilosa; Megalonychidae
Gene: SNORA70
Rfam family: Small nucleolar RNA SNORA70
About the family: snoRNA U70 seems to be exclusive to mammals and is a member of the H/ACA class of snoRNA which contain H (ANANNA) and ACA box motifs. H/ACA box snoRNAs are involved in the conversion of uridines to pseudouridines (5-ribosyluracil) a constituent of structural RNAs (transfer, ribosomal, small nuclear, and small nucleolar).
Source: Ensembl